GCCUACGGGGGCAGCAGUAGGGAAUCUUCCACAAUGGGCGAAAGCCUGAUGGAGCAACGCCGCGUGGGUGAAGAAGGUCUUCGGAUCGUAAAACCCUGUUGUUAGAGAAGAAAGUGCGUGAGAGUAACUGUUCACGUUUCGACGGUAUCUAACCAGAAAGCCACGGCUAACUACGUGCCAGCAGCCGCGGUAAUACGUAGGUGGCAAGCGUUAUCCGGAUUUAUUGGGCGUAAAGGGAACGCAGGCGGUCUUUUAAGUCUGAUGUGAAAGCCUUCGGCUUAACCGGAGUAGUGCCUUGGAAACUG
This 305-nucleotide ribosomal RNA is filed under the name uncultured bacterium. Its description in RNAcentral is "bacterial SSU rRNA". It matches the Rfam family "Bacterial small subunit ribosomal RNA", at positions 337 to 635 of the family's 1533-position model. The record is from RNAcentral.